CAGCCGCCACGGUAAUACAGAGGAUGCAGGCGUUAUCCGGAAUGAUUGGGCGUAAAGCGUCUGUAGGUGGCUUUUCAAGUCCGCUGUCAAAUCCCAGGGCUCAACCGGGGAGGGUCAUUGGAAACUGGGAAACUUGAGUGCAGAAGAGGAGAGUGGAAUUCCACGUGUAGCGGUGAAAUGCGUAGAGAUGUGGAGGAACACCAGUGGCGAAGGCGACUCUCUGGUCUGUAACUGACGCUGAGGAGCGAAAGCGUGGGGAGCGAACAGGAUUAGAUACCCCAGUAGUCCCUGUCUCUUAUAC
RNAcentral lists this ribosomal RNA (301 nucleotides) under uncultured bacterium. RNAcentral's name for it is "partial 16S ribosomal RNA". It matches the Rfam family "Bacterial small subunit ribosomal RNA", at positions 509 to 807 of the family's 1533-position model. The record is from RNAcentral.